RNAcentral lists this non-coding RNA (28 nucleotides) under Bombyx mori (domestic silkworm). The record is from RNAcentral. Lineage: Eukaryota; Metazoa; Arthropoda; Insecta; Lepidoptera; Bombycidae.
UACAUUUGCAAGUAUGUGAACAAAGGUA